AGAUUGAACGCUGGCGGCAGGCCUAACACAUGCAAGUCGAGCGGCAGCACGGGUACUUGUACCUGGUGGCGAGCGGCGGACGGGUGAGUAAUGCCUAGGAAUCUGCCUGAUAGUGGGGGAUAACGUUCGGAAACGGACGCUAAUACCGCAUACGUCCUACGGGAGAAAGUGGGGGAUCUUCGGACCUCACGCUAUCAGAUGAGCCUAGGUCGGAUUAGCUAGUUGGUAGGGUAAAGGCCUACCAAGGCUACGAUCCGUAACUGGUCUGAGAGGAUGAUCAGUCACACUGGAACUGAGACACGGUCCAGACUCCUACGGAGGCAGCAGUGGGGAAUAUUGGACAAUGGGCGAAAGCCUGAUCCAGCCAUGCCGCGUGUGUGAAGAAGGUCUUCGGAUUGUAAAGCCACUUUAAGUGGAGGAAGGGCAGUUAACCUAAGUACCGUUUAGUGGUUUUACGACGUUUAACCGGACUACGAAUUAAGCAACCGGCCUAACUCUGUGUCCAGCCAAGCCCGACGGUAAC
RNAcentral lists this ribosomal RNA (523 nucleotides) under uncultured soil bacterium. Its description in RNAcentral is "bacterial SSU rRNA". It matches the Rfam family "Bacterial small subunit ribosomal RNA", at positions 26 to 524 of the family's 1533-position model. The record is from RNAcentral.